Molecule: transfer RNA, 66 nt
Filed under: Flustrellidra hispida
Lineage: Eukaryota; Metazoa; Bryozoa; Gymnolaemata; Ctenostomatida; Flustrellidridae
Description: tRNA-Phe
Source: RNAcentral
GAUGUUUUAGCCUAUAUUAAGGCGUAACUUUGAAAAAGUUAAGAAUCCUCCAUCAUGAUAACGUUA